CUCCGGCGGCCCGGGUGCUUUCACCUCCCACGAGCGGGAGCGGGAGUGGGGCGGGGUUGGGGAUGGGCCAUCCUGCCGCGGCUGGGGCAGCAGCCUUCCCCCGGGUCCGGCGCCGAAGCUUUCUCCCCCGGGGCGGGAAUGGAGGCUGGACCCCUGUCCCCAAAGCCGAGGCUCGGUCCGCGCUCCUGCGACUAGGCUGAAGCUGCUCCCCUCUCCCCGCCGCCUCCGGCCUGGAGCGGAGACUAACGUCCGGCCGUACACCCACACUGGGACUGGGCUGUGAUCCCGAGGCCGCAGCUCCUCUCUCGGCCCGCCACCUCCCCCUGGGCCCACCUGCUCCCUCAGCCACAGGCCACCUCGGGGCUCUGGGACUGGACGGCCGCAGCCUCUUCCCUCUCCCCUCGGGAACGGCUCCACUCCGUCCCCUGCACCGCCUGCAGCCGCGGCCGCUCAGCAGCUGUGUCUCCUGGCACCUCCUCGCCAUACCCAGCAGAGCAGUCGGAGCAGACAGCCAGGCUGCCCGGAAGAGUUUUUGGUGGGGUUUCUGCAUUGAGGUGGAAACCCAGCAGAACCUGCCCUUUCUCCCUUCCCCUGCCCCGCAAGGCAGCCCACCCCGACCCUGAGAUCCCGGGUUUGGAGACUCCUGCUGAGAGUGAACAGUAGGAGGAUUCCCCAAAGCUUCCAGCUUGCCACCUGGAAGAAGGUCACUUUCUUUUGAGCAAAGGAGAUAAUGGGAGGUACCCUGCCAAUGUUCACUGAGAGGCGGGGGUGACAUGGGCCACGGUUGCUCUGGGAGGGUUGUGGCACUCGGGGCUGGGUGGCUCUCCCUAAGCUUGCUCUGACAAAAGAGUUUUGAGUUGGUCUUUUGGCUGAGCCUGCCCAGGAAGGCAGGCUCCUGCAGGAGUCUUGGAGGGUCGGAUGCGGCGCCGGAUGAGGAUGAGGCGUGGCGGAAGAUGCGUUUGGCUCUGCAGACACUGCAUCGGGCAGCAGGGGACUCUGGGAGGCUGGUGCAGCCAGAAGGCAUGGCUCUUGACAGCCUUCUAGUAGAAUCUCUGGAAUUGUGCAUGGCAGAAGAGGAAAGAAACUAACGGGUAUUGAGCACCUACUUUGUGCCAGGCCCAGGCCAGGUCCCCCCCGCCUCCAGCCAGCCUGUGCAGACUUGCUGCCUGCUGUGUCACCGGGAACGCAAAGGCUGGGAAGAAGGCCCUUCUCAAAAUGGACUGGUGUUGCAGGGUGAGAAGCUGCCCCCUGACUUCAUGCCAAAGCUCGUCAAGAAUCUCCUAGGCGAGAUGCCUCUGUGGGUCUGCCAGAGUUGCCGAAAGAGCAUGGAGGAAGAUGAAAGGCAGACAGGUCGAGAACAUGCAGUGGCGAUCUCCUUGUCACACACAUCCUGCAAAUCACAGUCUUGUGGAGAUGACUCUCAUUCGUCCUCGUCUUCCUCUUCAUCAUCCUCAUCCUCGUCCUCUUCUUCCUGCCCUGGGAACUCAGGAGACUGGGAUCCUAGCUCGUUCCUGUCGGCCCAUAAGCUCUCGGGCCUCUGGAAUUCCCCACAUUCCAGUGAGGCCAUGCCAGGCAGCUCUCUUGGGAGUCCUCCUACCAUUCCCGGUGAGGCUUUCCCCGUCUCGGAGCACCACCAGCACUCAGACCUCACUGCUCCCCCUAACAGCCCCACCGGCCACCACCCCCAGCCAGCAUCUCUAAUCCCGUCUCACCCCAGCUCCUUUGGCUCCCCACCCCACCCACACCUGCUGCCCACCACCCCGGCAGCACCUUUCCCUGCCCAGGCUUCAGAGUGCCCUGUUGCUGCUGCCACCGCCCCCCACACUCCAGGGCCAUGUCAGAGCUCCCAUCUGCCCUCCACCAGCAUGCCACUCCUGAAGAUGCCCCCACCAUUGUCGGGGUGCAGCCACCCCUGCAGCGGGCACUGUGGUGAGCACUGCAGCGGGCCUCUCCUCCCACCCCCGAGCUCUCAGCCACCCCCUAGUGCUCACAGGGAUCCCGGGUGCAAGGGGCACAAGUUUGCACACAGUGGCCUGGCUUGCCAGCUGCCCCAGCCCUGCGAGGCAGAUGAGGGGCUGGGUGAGGAAGAGGAUAGCAGCUCUGAGCGAAGCUCCUGCACCUCGUCCUCCACCCACCAGAGAGAUGGGAAGUUCUGUGACUGCUGCUACUGUGAGUUCUUCGGCCACAAUGCGCCGCCCGCUGCCCCGACGAGUCGGAACUAUACCGAGAUCCGGGAGAAGCUCCGCUCGAGGCUGACCAGGCGGAAAGAGGAGCUGCCCAUGAAGGGGGGCGCCCUGGGCGGGAUCCCUGGGGAGCCCGCCGUGGACCACCGAGAUGUGGAUGAGCUGCUGGAAUUCAUCAACAGCACGGAGCCCAAAGUCCCCAACAGCGCCAGGGCCGCCAAGCGGGCCCGGCACAAGCUGAAAAAGAAGGCCAAUCCGUUCCUCACUCACUUGAAUGGAGUAAGCAUUACCCACUCAAACACCACAGCCCUGGGUUCCACUCCAGCCUGGCUCUCCCUUUCUACAGCUCAAGAAAAGCAUGAAAAGGAGAAGGCCCAGUUGGCAGCAGAAUCUCUAAAGCAGGCGAAUCGUGUUUCUGGAAGCCGGGAGCAAAGGCCUGCCAGGGAGAGGCUCUUGGAGUGGCCCGACCGGGAACUGGAUCGGGUCAACAGCUUCCUGAGCAGCCGUCUGCAGGAGAUCAAAAACACUGUCAAAGACUCCAUCCGUGCCAGCUUCAGUGUGUGUGAGCUCAGCAUGGACAGCAAUGGCUUCUCUAAGGAGGGGGCUGCUGAACCCGAGCCUCAGAGUCUACCCCCAUCAAACCUCAGUGGCUCCUCAGAGCAGCAGCCUGACAUCAACCUUGACUUGUCCCCUUUGACUUUGGGCUCCCCUCAGAACCACACGUUACAAGCUCCAGGCGAGCCAGCCCCACCAUGGGCAGAAAUGAGAGGCCCCCACCCACCAUGGACAGAGGUGAGGGGGCCCCCUCCCGGUAUCGCUCCCGAGAACGGGCUCGUGAGGAGACUCAACACCGUGCCCAACCUGUCCCGGGUGAUCUGGGUCAAGACACCCAAGUCGGGCUACCCCAGCUCCGAGGAGCCAAGCUCAAAGGAAGUUCCCAGUUGCAAGCAGGAGCUGCCUGAGCCUGUGUCCUCAGGUGGGAAGCCACGGAAGGGCAAGAGGCAGGGCAGUCAGGCCAAGAAGAGCGAGGCAAGCCCAGCCCCCCGGCCCCCAGCCAGCCUAGAGGUUCCCAGUGCCAAAGGCCAGGUUGCUGGCCCCAAGCAACCAGGCAAGGUCCUAGAGCCUCCCAAAGUAGGCAGCUGUUCCGAGGCUGGAGAGGGGAGCCGGGGGAGCCGGCCAGGACCAGGUUGGGCUGGCAGCCCCAAAACUGAGAAGGAGAAGGGCAGCUCCUGGCGAAACUGGCCAGGUGAGGCCAAGGCACGGCCUCAGGAGCAGGAGUCUCUGCAGCCCUCAGGCCCAGCAAGGCCACAGAGCUUGCCCCAGGGCAAGGGCCGCAGCCGCCGGAGCCGCAACAAGCAGGAGAAGCCAGCCUCCUCCUUGGACGAUGUGUUCCUGCCCAAGGACAUGGACGGGGUGGAGAUGGAUGAGACUGACCGAGAGGUGGAGUACUUUAAGAGAUUCAGAGGGACGACUGUACUUAAGGGAAUGAUGGAAGCCAGCCCAGCAGAGCUAGAGAGUCAAACACCAGAUGAGGAAGGAAGUAGAAUCCCAAGGCAGUUUCACUGUCUUCAUAUGUUGUCCCCUGGACCCAGUCCAGAAGCCACCAAGCCAGCAAAGCUCCUAUGCCUGCUAAACACUAACACCUGAGAGCCAAAGAGGUUCUGUUUGGAUUCUGCAAAGCAGACUCGUCAGAAAGUUGCUGUGAACUGGACCAACUUCAGCCUCAAGAAAACCACUCCCAGCACAGCUCAGUGAGGCCCUGCCCAGGCUGAGCUUCUUCAGGGCGUCCUGAGGCCCCGACUGCCAGCUGAAAGCCUACAAUUUUUCCGUGUGCCCCACCUACCCGCCCAAGACCUUCUCUGCUCCCCACCAUCCUGGACCAACCAAAAUCUGAACGGAUGCCACACUGUGCUGGGGCCCCUUGACCUCAGCAGAGCCGCUUCCUGGUGCUACGCAGCCUCCACACUCAGAGCCCGUGGACUGGGCUGGCCUAAGGGCCGGGGCUGAUGGUACUGCUAGCCCAACACUGCUCUCUUUGUGUUCGGUUUUUUUGUUUUUGUUUUUAUUUUAUUUUUUUCCAAUUCUUUACUUUUGAUACUGUGAAGAUCUUUCAUGCCGAAAGAUAAAGCAACAUUUGGACACAGA
Molecule: non-coding RNA, 4328 nt
Organism: Chlorocebus sabaeus (green monkey)
Lineage: Eukaryota; Metazoa; Chordata; Mammalia; Primates; Cercopithecidae
Source: RefSeq, a predicted model, not a curated record